Molecule: non-coding RNA, 215 nt
Filed under: Bacteroides nordii
Lineage: Bacteria; Pseudomonadati; Bacteroidota; Bacteroidia; Bacteroidales; Bacteroidaceae
Also listed under: 1 other name
Source: RNAcentral
UAUAUUUGCGCACGAUUUGGUUCGGAAUCCGUGGUCAACGGAUGAAGAUUAAAAGGGAAUCGGGUGUAACUCCCGGACAGUCCCGCUGCUGUGAAGCUCUAUAGAACAUCUUAUAAAUUAACCAGAUUCGCGCCACUGACGGAGGUAAAAAAUCCAUCGGGAAGGCCUGUAAGAUGAGAGUCAGUCAGAAGACCUGCCAGUCAAAAUUUAUACUU